RNAcentral lists this ribosomal RNA (279 nucleotides) under uncultured bacterium. RNAcentral describes it as "partial 16S ribosomal RNA". It matches the Rfam family "Bacterial small subunit ribosomal RNA", at positions 506 to 784 of the family's 1533-position model. The record is from RNAcentral.
UGCCAGCCGCCGCGGUAACACGGGGGGCGCAAGCGUUAUUCGGAAUUAUUGGGCGUAAAGGGCGUGUAGGCGGCUGGCUAAGUCUGGUGUGAAAGCCCGGGGCUCACCCCCGGAAGUGCGCUGGAAACUAGUCAGCUAGAGUAUGGGAGAGGGAAGUGGAAUUCCUGGUGUAGCGGUGAAAUGCGUAGAUAUCAGGAGGAACACCGGCGGCGAAGGCGGCUUCCUGGACCAAUACUGACGCUGAGACGCGAAAGCGUGGGGAGCAAACAGGAUUAGAUA